RNAcentral lists this ribosomal RNA (301 nucleotides) under uncultured bacterium. Its description in RNAcentral is "partial 16S ribosomal RNA". It matches the Rfam family "Bacterial small subunit ribosomal RNA", at positions 509 to 807 of the family's 1533-position model. The record is from RNAcentral.
CAGUCGCCACGGGAAUACGUAGGGUGCAAGCGUUAAUCGGAAUUACUGGGCGUAAAGCGUGCGCAGGCGGUUUUGUAAGUCUGUCGUGAAAUCCCCGGGCUCAACCUGGGAAUGGCGAUGGAGACUGCAAGGCUAGAAUCUGGCAGAGGGGGGUAGAAUUCCACGUGUAGCAGUGAAAUGCGUAGAUAUGUGGAGGAACACCGAUGGCGAAGGCAGCCCCCUGGGCUAAGAUUGACGCUCAUGCACGAAAGCGUGGGGAGCAAACAGGAUUAGAUACCCCCGUAGUCCCUGUCUCUUAUAC